GUAUGAAAAACCUUACAUCUUGAUUUAUUUAAAACUUGUUUAAGGUUAUUAAGCAGAUAGAGGCUAAUUUUGUUGUCUUUCUGCAGGUGCAUGAAGUGCUGCACCUAAUGGGAUGCUUGGUUCCUUUGUGCUAUUUGUGCUUCGAGUCAAUUUGGAGUUUGUAAGAAAAGCGUGAGCUUUGAAAAAGAAAAAAGGGCUCCUGUUUGCUAAUAGCACUUCUAAAUUCUAGCUUGGCAUUCUAUUGCAACAAUUUAAUUUGCAAGAUUGCAGCUUAGCUGUUGGAUCUUUGAACAAAAUCUGGGUCAUUGACAUGGUGAUACAAACAGUCCAUGGUGCACUCUUCAUCAUUCUACAUGCUACUUUUGAAAUCCCUCUAUCUAUUUUCUUCAUUCUGUGUGAAUUGAGUUAAUACUGGUGUGAGAUCACUAUAAGGACUAGACUUUUGGUGGUUCGAUUGGGGAUCGAUGUUACGAUAGAACAUCACAGAAUAGUUGUAUUUUGUUCUUGAGAUGAUUUGGUUGUAUAUUGGUUUGAACUCUUGUGUAUUUCUUUGUUUCUUUAAGUAUUUACUGCAAAUGGCGCUAAAAUCCACUUCCUGAAGUUCCAAUGGGGAAAUCUACACAGGUUGGACGAACAUUUUUGGAU
RNAcentral lists this long non-coding RNA (645 nucleotides) under Olea europaea subsp. europaea. Lineage: Eukaryota; Viridiplantae; Streptophyta; Magnoliopsida; Lamiales; Oleaceae. The record is from RNAcentral.